This is a small nucleolar RNA of Dendrobium catenatum, 106 nucleotides long. The record is from RefSeq and is a predicted model, not a curated record. NCBI's taxonomy places the organism in Eukaryota, Viridiplantae, Streptophyta, Magnoliopsida, Asparagales, Orchidaceae.
AUGCUUGGUGUGGACACUUUCUAAAUAAUUCCUUAAAUCUCUCCCAAUAUUCAUAUAUUGAUGCUCCAUCUAGUUGGGUAAAGGAGGUAAUGUUAUUCCUAAGUUU